This is an RNA transcript of Alnus glutinosa, 1238 nucleotides long. It is a transcript of the gene named protein ARV 2-like, with no coding region annotated. The record is from RefSeq and is a predicted model, not a curated record. The transcript has 10 exons. Lineage: Eukaryota; Viridiplantae; Streptophyta; Magnoliopsida; Fagales; Betulaceae.
UUUAAGGAGAACACAGAAAGAAAAGGAACUAAGGCGGUCAGAAAAUGGAGUAAUCAGGUCUGGUGGAAGUAGUCAUAGGUAGAUGGGCCGAAACCGACUAUUGGGAAGUCGGUCACUCUCCAAUCCAAUAGGAAGAGUGGGAGACACAGAUAGAUGUACAGCGGUUAAAGUUUGAGAGAGUGUCGGAGUGAGCCGGAGCGUGGAUGAUUGAGAAUAGACAGAGAAGAGAGAUGGAUUACCGGUGUGUCCAGUGCGGGUUUGGGAUCAAAACACUGUUCGUGCAAUACUCACCCGGCAACAUCCGGCUCAUGAAAUGUGAGAAUUGCAAAGCCGUCGCUGAUGAGUACAUCGAAUGUGAAACCAUGAUUCUUAUAAUUGAUUUGAUUCUGCACAAGCCCAAAGCAUAUAGACAUCUACUCUAUAACAUGCUCAAGCAUGAACCUCCAAAUCUCGAGAAUUUAUUGUGGAAGUCAACUUUUGGUUAUCUUCUUUUUGAUGCUUACAGGAGUCUUGCUUUAAAAAGUAGCAAGGAAGAGUGGGGUUUGUCCAUGAGCUUUUCUUCAUUAGUUUGGACAUGUGGAAAGAUUUUGACAGAUGUACUUUUUGGGAACUUUUUGUUUCUUUGUACUUUUCUUCUUGCAAUGAAGAUAUUUCUGAGCAGAUUACCUGGAACCUCAAGGUACAAAGACUUUGUGCUUGCAAUCUUGAUUUCAAGUUACUUCAAGAUAUUUCUUAUUGCCAUGAUGUUAGGGGAGACAGUGGUAGGCUCAGUUAUCUCCUCUAAUCUGGAGAGUCUCUACUCAGGGUCUGGGAGUUUCCAUCUUCUGUGAUUUUCAUCAUUGAUUUAUUUGUUUUAUCAUCCAACACAAUGGCAGUAAAAGUGAUAACCGGAUCAGCUAUGAGUAGAUGCAUAGGAGCCUGCCUCAGUGCGCAUGCUGUUAAAGUCUUUACCUUUCUGAUGUUCUAGCUAAUGUCUUUGAGAUGUGCAAACUUCUUCAGUGGCUAAUGCCCUGAUCUUUCUAUUGAAAUACAGCAGAACAGAGCAUAAUUUAUGUUUUCUCUUGUAUUUAUUAGUUUUUUUUCCUACUGAUGCAGUGGCUGUUGGAUUGACCGUUGUGAGUGUAUUAUGUAAAUUUGUGAAAUAGAAUGUUAUGUUAUAUCCCCAUCAAAGUUGAAUUGGUCUAUUGGGGCUCUGCUUAGCAUUCUAAUUAACAAAUUAGAAUUGCAGUGUGGAAUCA